UACGAAGGGGGCUAGCGUUGCUCGGAAUCACUGGGCGUAAAGCGCACGUAGGCGGAUCGUUAAGUCGGAGGUGAAAUCCUGGAGCUCAACUCCAGAACUGCCUUCGAUACUGGCGAUCUUGGAGUCCGGGAGAGGUGAGUGGAACUGCGAGUGUAGAGGUGAAAUUCGUAGAUAUUCGCAAGAACACCAGUGGCGAAGGCGGCUCACUGGCCCGAUACUGACGCUGAGGUGCGAAAGCGUGGGGAGCAAACAGG
This 254-nucleotide ribosomal RNA is filed under the name uncultured bacterium. Its description in RNAcentral is "partial 16S ribosomal RNA". It matches the Rfam family "Bacterial small subunit ribosomal RNA", at positions 524 to 776 of the family's 1533-position model. The record is from RNAcentral.